GUGUCUGUCAUGCUCAAACUCCGGUAAGUAGACCCACACCUGUAUGAGAAAAUUAAGACCAAAUAAAGCUAAAGACCUAGAACGCUAAGUGAGACAACAACCCUUCAUGUUGGACACAUGUGAGACAUGAUUGUGACUGUUUUUUUAAAAAAAUUAACCUUUCUGGCAAAAAGUGGCUAAAAAUAUAAGAUUUGGCUAAGACCCCGCGAAGCCAAGAACCUAACUCACUAGGAAGACCAGACCCUAUGUGGGUUGCCUACGUAUCAUGUCCCGAAAAACGAGAAUCAGGUAUGCGUAGUUCGGGCAGAUUGGAUACGGGCAAGAAUUAAAAAAAAACUAAUUUAGAGAAAACAUAUUUUUUGUCUUUUUUUUUUCAAAAGUGAUGAAACAUGUAAACUCUUUUUGGAUUUUCUUUUCCCUUUUUUUGAUUUUUUGAUUUUCGGAAAAUGAUGAAAAAGUGCAAAAUUGUUUUUUGAAUUUUCAUGGUUUUUUAAAACAAAAGUGUGACAGAAAACAUAAUUGGGCCCUACUUACUUUAUUUUCAUACUUCAGCCUCUUUUUUUUCUUUUAUUUUCAUUUGCCCUCAACUAUCAUUGGUCCGCCAAAUGACCCUUUUACCCUUGAAGAUUGCAACAUGUAUCACAUAGGAUGCAUCAAGAUGGUCUUUUAUUUUUGGGUAACUUGUCCUAGACGGACCCAACCAUUGUGUUGAGCCCCCUAAGUCAAAUGCACGUGAUGCAACAAACGUUCCUACUAGGGAUCCGACAUGAGGCUUUGUUAUUCUAGGUUUAAAACUUGGGUUUAUUUGUUCUAUACCUGGCUUACCCGAACGGACAGCUCGAGCUGAGAGAGGCAGCGUACCGGGAAUAUAGAAGCUUCACCGGCUUUGCAACUUGUCCGAACCUCGUUCUAAAAUUGAGAUAUGACUCUAACAGAAGAGAAGCUACACAAAGUGCACCCUUCCCAGAUGAUUUAGAAGACUUAGAGAGAGGAGGGUUUCGUAAUAGUUUAUAUGCAGUUCAAAUAAUAUCAAAGAGGUAAAAAGUGACAAUUAGCACAUUAGGCUCAAACAUAUAAAAACUAGAUAAUAAAUAGAAGCCAACUAUAACAGUUACUCUAAGCUCGAAUUCUGAACCCUGAACUAGAAGUUCUGGGUUCAUGUCCCAGCAGAGUCGCCAGAGUUGUCACACCUCCUUUUUACUACCCCCGGAAGGGUAUAAGGGAAUUUUUCCAAUUUAAGUGACAAUCGAAACAUGAUUUAUUUAUUUAUUUAUUCAGAGUCUCCACUUGGGAUAAUUUAUGGUGUCCCAAGUCACCAGUUCAAAUCCCGAAUCGAGAAAAGAUUGACUCUGUUUUACAGUCCGCGAACACAGAAAUCUGGGUAAGGAAUUCUGUUAACCCAAGAGAAGGUGUUAGGCAUUCCCGGGGCGUGGUUUUAGCACGGUCGCUCAACUGUUAUUAUUGGCCUAAUUAUCAAAUUUUAAAACACUUUUAAACCUAUGCAUUUUUUAACUUUCAAAACCGCUUUAUUGAUUUAAGGAAUUAUUUCAAGGUUAUCUAAAACACAUCGUAAGCCACGCUACAUGAAAUGCACUUGUGAUUUACGACCCAUUCUGUUUAACCUUGUUGGAAAUUGAAGUCGGGUCACAUGUAAUGCACACCCGGAUUUAUAACAUGUUUAUUUUAAUUAUUAUUCGAAGUUAUUUUCGGGUCACAUGAAAUGCACACCCGAAUUGGGAUUUACGUAUUGUGACCAUGUCAUGAGAACCGUACCAAUAGUCACGAUAAUUUAUUAUUAACACGCAUAAAGCAAAUCAUAUUGGCUACUAUACAUUAUAGAAAAGCAGAGUUAAAGAAACCGAUGUAGGCCUACGAGAGUUAACACGCAACUUGCACAAGUAGUGUAACUAGAGAUGUCAAGUAAAGGAAACUAAAACCAUAUUAAUUUUUAUAUCCAAUGAUACUGAAUUUUUCAAACAAUUAAGAGGAAGAAGGUUAUAGAACCAAUAUUUCUAGCAUAAACUUUCAAAAACAUGAUAAGGAAAAAUCACUUUGUCCAAUUGGAUUUAGUCAUAUUAUUCCAAACCAACCUAUUGUUAUUAAGAACAAAGAUAUAUUUGGACAUCAAACAUGUUUCAACGACCAACCAAAAAUCCGAUGAGAUCCAUUUUAAUUAUUCAACAUCAGUACUCCCAAUAAGAUCACAACAUGGAUUAUAAACCAACAUUCCUAUGUAAAUGCAAAAAAAAAAAAACAGAAGAAAUAAUGGCAAAAAAAAUGGCAAUGAAUCAAUUAUAAGGAAAAUUCAUCAAAUGCCAAAAACAGAAUAAAAUUGAAAGAAAGAAACUGAACCUUUAAUAGAAUUUCAGAUGGAACCUUCUUCCAUAUUUGAUUCAAUACAAAGAGACAACUCCAACAUGAACCGUGUAACAGCAAAUUCAAACAGGGGUCACGGACUUAAACCUCAAACUGCAACCUGAACCUCGACUCAGCCGCGUCCCAACCAACCGUAGCAGCAACAAAAAUAGAACAAAAGGCAACUAGAAUUCGAACCUAAACCAGACUGAAUUUGCUCGACACGAAUGGAAACAACAACUCCGAAUCUCGAUGGCAACUAGUGAACGACAACGGAUCCGAAUCCACCUCUGUCCCUUCGCACUCUAUUUUUCACUCAAUCUUCUAACUGUUCAGUCACUCUCUAUGCGUGUAUGCGUAUCUUCCGACGAAUUUUAGUGAAAGAGGGCUGGAUGUGGCAGAUUUCAGGGCAAGGAGUCGGGGUCGGUGUUGUUUGAUGUUAUGGGGUGUAGAAGAAGAUGGUUAGAUGAGGAGGUC
Molecule: long non-coding RNA, 2832 nt
Filed under: Nicotiana tabacum (common tobacco)
Lineage: Eukaryota; Viridiplantae; Streptophyta; Magnoliopsida; Solanales; Solanaceae
Description: long non-coding RNA (NTAB_LNC000963)
Source: RNAcentral